This 387-nucleotide ribosomal RNA is filed under the name uncultured bacterium. RNAcentral describes it as "bacterial SSU rRNA". It matches the Rfam family "Bacterial small subunit ribosomal RNA", at positions 28 to 416 of the family's 1533-position model. The record is from RNAcentral.
GACGAACGCUGGCGGCGUGCUUAACACAUGCAAGUCGAGCGGUAAGGCCCUUUCGGGGGUACACGAGCGGCGAACGGGUGAGUAACACGUGGGUGACCUGCCCUCAGCUCUGGGAUAAGCCUGGGAAACCGGGUCUAAUACUGGAUAUGACUCCAUGACGCAUGUUGUGGGGUGGAAAGCCUUGUGCGGCUGAGGAUGGGCCCGCGGCCUAUCAGCUUGUUGGUGGGGUGANGGCCUACCAAGGCGACGACGGGUAGCCGGCCUGAGAGGGCGACCGGCCACACUGUGACUGAGACACGGCCCAGACUCCUACGGGAGGCAGCAGUGGGGAAUCUUGCGCAAUGGGCGAAAGCCUGACGCAGCGACGCCGCGUGAGGGAUGACGGCC